AUUCAGCUGACAAGUCCCAAAUAGGACGAAAUGCAUGUCGCACGGGAU
This 48-nucleotide non-coding RNA is filed under the name Schistosoma bovis. Lineage: Eukaryota; Metazoa; Platyhelminthes; Trematoda; Strigeidida; Schistosomatidae. The record is from RNAcentral. RNAcentral also lists the same sequence under 1 other name.